RNAcentral lists this ribosomal RNA (468 nucleotides) under uncultured bacterium. Its description in RNAcentral is "partial 16S ribosomal RNA". It matches the Rfam family "Bacterial small subunit ribosomal RNA", at positions 28 to 507 of the family's 1533-position model. The record is from RNAcentral.
GACGAACGCUGGCGGCGUGCUUAACACAUGCAAGUCGAACGGAAAGGCCCUGCUUUUGUGGGGUGCUCGAGUGGCGAACGGGUGAGUAACACGUGAGUAACCUGCCCUUGACUUUGGGAUAACUUCAGGAAACUGGGGCUAAUACCGGAUAGGAGCUCCUGCUGCAUGGUGGGGGUUGGAAAGUUUCGGCGGUUGGGGAUGGACUCGCGGCUUAUCAGCUUGUUGGUGGGGUAGUGGCUUACCAAGGCUUUGACGGGUAGCCGGCCUGAGAGGGUGACCGGCCACAUUGGGACUGAGAUACGGCCCAGACUCCUACGGGAGGCAGCAGUGGGGAAUAUUGCACAAUGGGCGGAAGCCUGAUGCAGCAACGCCGCGUGCGGGAUGACGGCCUUCGGGUUGUAACCCGCUUUCGCCUGUGACGAAGCGUGAGUGACGGUAAUGGGCAAAGAAGCACCGGCUAACUACGUG